CAGUCGAGGGGCAUCAGGAAGAAGCUUGCUUUCUUUGCUGGCGACCGGCGCACGGGUGAGUAACACGUAUCCAACCUGCCCUUUACUCGGGGAUAGCCUUUCGAAAGAAAGAUUAAUACCCGAUAGUAUAAUGAUUCCGCAUGGUUUCAUUAUUAAAGGAUUCCGGUAAAGGAUGGGGAUGCGUUCCAUUAGGUUGUUGGUGAGGUAACGGCUCACCAAGCCUUCGAUGGAUAGGGGUUCUGAGAGGAAGGUCCCCCACAUUGGAACUGAGACACGGUCCAAACUCCUACGGGAGGCAGCAGUGAGGAAUAUUGGCCAAUGGGCGUUAGCCUGAACCAGCCAAGUAGCGUGAAGGAUGAAGGCUCUAUGGGUCGUAAACUUCUUUUAUAUAAGAAUAAAGUGCAGUAUGUAUACUGUUUUGUAUGUAUUAUAUGAAUAAGGAUCGGCUAACUCCGUGCCAGCAGCCGCGGUAAUACGGAGGAUCCGAGCGUUAUCCGGAUUUAUUGGGUUUAAAGGGAGCGUAGGUGGACUGGUAAGUCAGUUGUGAAAGUUUGCGGCUCAACCGUAAAAUUGCAGUUGAUACUGUCAGUCUUGAGUACAGUAGAGGUGGGCGGAAUUCGUGGUGUAGCGGUGA
RNAcentral lists this ribosomal RNA (634 nucleotides) under uncultured bacterium. RNAcentral describes it as "bacterial SSU rRNA". It matches the Rfam family "Bacterial small subunit ribosomal RNA", at positions 59 to 684 of the family's 1533-position model. The record is from RNAcentral.